AAUUAGGGACAAAAAUAAAAAAAGAUUGUACACCCGGUAAGUUGAAAACCUGAAAAGGCAACUUAGGCAAAAAUGGGUAUCCCGGUGGAUUGAAAACCCGAAAAGGGCGAUCCAGGCAAAAGUUAGGGAUUAAGCGAAUGACUGCGUUCUGAGUAGUUCUGAAUCUCAUCUCGUGCCAAUGACUGGAAAUUUUCGAAAGGGUAGGAAACAGUCCAAUCACCUUCUCAGAAGGCUGAUCAUCUGGAGGAUCUUGAAGA
This 257-nucleotide long non-coding RNA is filed under the name Lathyrus oleraceus (garden pea). RNAcentral describes it as "Pisum sativum (pea) long non-coding RNA (PSAT_LNC028075)". The record is from RNAcentral. Lineage: Eukaryota; Viridiplantae; Streptophyta; Magnoliopsida; Fabales; Fabaceae.